Molecule: ribosomal RNA, 268 nt
Filed under: Stenotrophomonas sp.
Lineage: Bacteria; Pseudomonadati; Pseudomonadota; Gammaproteobacteria; Lysobacterales; Lysobacteraceae
Description: partial 16S ribosomal RNA
Rfam family: Bacterial small subunit ribosomal RNA
Source: RNAcentral
AACUUAGAGAAGGAUUGGUGCUUCGGGAACUCGAACACAGGUGCUGCAUGGCUGUAAAAAAAGUGUCGUGAGAUGUUGGGUUAAGUCCCGCAACGAGCGCAACCCUUGUCCUUAGUUGCCAGCACGUAAUGGUGGGAACUCUAAGGAGACCGCCGGUGACAAACCGGAGGAAGGUGGGGAUGACGUCAAGUCAUCAUGGCCCUUACGGCCAGGGCUACACACGUACUACAAUGGUAGGGACAGAGGGCUGCAGGCCGGAAACGGUAAG